This 282-nucleotide long non-coding RNA is filed under the name Mytilus galloprovincialis (Mediterranean mussel). Lineage: Eukaryota; Metazoa; Mollusca; Bivalvia; Mytilida; Mytilidae. The record is from RNAcentral.
CACAGGCACUUGUUUCUAUCCAUACGAAGGUCGACUAUCCAUAUAAAUAGAAGAAGGUGGCUAACGAAUGUCGCGACAGUCUCCGCUUCGGACGCUUUUUCUAUCGUUAUCGUAAUAAAAAAAAUACCUCUACCUUAUAUGAAUCGAUUCAGAAAUGAUUUUCCUUUAACACUAGACAUAUUUUAUAUUCCCCUCAAUGUUCCUCUUCUUACUAAUCUUACUAUUGUUCACUAAUCCGUGGAGAUUUUUGAACUACCAUCUUUUCAAUGUAUCUGCUUCCGG